GACGAACGCUGGCGGCGUGCUUAACACAUGCAAGUCGAACGAAGUGGCGAACGGGUGAGUAAUACGUGGGUAACCUGCCCUCCUUUUUGGGAUAAGCCUUGGAAACGGGGUCUAAUACCGAAUAAAGGGGGAUGGGCUCGCGGCCUAUCAGCUUGUUGGUGGGGGGAUGGCCUAACAAGGCGGUGACGGGUAGCCGGCCUGAGAGGGGGAACGGCCACAGUGGGACGGUGAUGCGGCCCAGGGGCGUACGCGGGGGAGAAGUGGGGGAUAUUGCACAAUGGGCGAAAGACUGAUGCAGCGACGCCGCGUGGGGGAUGAAGGCUUUCGGGUUGUAAACCUCGUUCGCAAUCGAAGGGGUAGGUGGAGAAGAAGCGCCGGCUAACUACGUGCCAGCAGCCGCGGUAAUUC
This 408-nucleotide ribosomal RNA is filed under the name uncultured bacterium. RNAcentral describes it as "partial 16S ribosomal RNA". It matches the Rfam family "Bacterial small subunit ribosomal RNA", at positions 28 to 526 of the family's 1533-position model. The record is from RNAcentral.